RNAcentral lists this ribosomal RNA (629 nucleotides) under Exophiala jeanselmei. Its description in RNAcentral is "LSU rRNA". It matches the Rfam family "Eukaryotic large subunit ribosomal RNA", at positions 34 to 670 of the family's 3401-position model. The record is from RNAcentral. Lineage: Eukaryota; Fungi; Ascomycota; Eurotiomycetes; Chaetothyriales; Herpotrichiellaceae.
UUUUGCAUAUCCCAAAAAGCGGAGGAAAAGAAACCAACAGGGAUUGCCUCAGUAACGGCGAGUGAAGCGGCAACAGCUCAAAUUUGAAAUCUGGCCUCUUCGGGGCCCGAGUUGUAAUUUGUAGAGGAUGUUUCGGGUACCGCCUCGGUUUAAAUUUCUUGGAACAGAAUGUCAUAGAGGGUGAGAAUCCCGUCUUGGACCGGCGGUAGGGCCCAUGUGAAACUCCUUCGACGAGUCGAGUUGUUUGGGAAUGCAGCUCAAAAUGGGUGGUAAAUUUCAUCUAAAGCUAAAUAUUGGCCAGAGACCGAUAGCGCACAAGUAGAGUGAUCGAAAGAUGAAAAGAACUUUGAAAAGAGAGUUAAACAGUAUGUGAAAUUGUUGAAAGGGAAGCGCUGGCAACCAGACUUGAGCGCGGCGGUUCCCCCUUCCUUUUGGUUGGGUUACUCCGCCGUGUCCAGGCCAACAUCGGUUCUGGGGGUCGGUCAAAGGCCCGGGGAAUGUAUCUACUCCUUCGGGGGUAGACUUAUAGCCCCGGGUGUCAUGCGACCACCCGGGACCGAGGAACGCGCUUCGGCUCGGAUGUUGGCGUAAUGGUUGUCAGCGACCCGUCUUGAACCACCCGGACCAAA